AAAUAUCAUAAGGCAUGCAUUAUUUGAAAUGAUAUCAUUCCAAUAAAGAUCAAUCCAUCACGUUGGGAGGCUAGAAAAUGCAACUAUGCGAGGCAGCUGCUUUAUCAUAGAGAUUGCUGUUAGGGUUUUGGAUCCCUAACAAGAGAAAUUAGGAGAAUAGAAGAAAGAAGAAGUAACUGAGAGAGAAGAAGUAAGAAAGAGGAUCGGAAGAAAGAAGAAUUAGGGAGAAAAUUAGAGAGAAAAAGAAGAAUAUUAUUUCUGAAAUUUCAGUUAUGCAAUUACAAAGUAACUCCCCAGUUUUAUACACAUUAGCAGUUGUAACUGCUUAUUUAAUCAGUUCCAGCUGUUUUCUAAUCAAUUCCAGCUAUUUACUAAUCAAUUCCAGCUGUUUAUUGACUUCUAUAACUGUCAUCAGCUACUCUCCCUCAGUUACAUCAGCCUUUCCCUCCUUUUUAUUCCUAAACUUCUUCCUAUAAUAUGUAACAAUUUUCUCUUGAUCUUUUGAGAAAAAGUUCCUAUAUCACUGAAUUUAGAUAUCACUGAAUUUACUGAGGCACCAACAUAUGACUGCUUUUAAUUGUUAUUGUGGUGGUGGUUGUUAAAUUUGUUCUUUACCUUUUCUGUUCCUGUUUUGCUUGUGUCUCUCAGUGUAAGGGCAAUAGUUGCUUUGAACCUUCACAAUUAUGGAAGCGGAAGAAAUCCAUGGGGCAGUCCGAAUCCAGAGUAUUUGGAAAAGAGGGGGUUUGUUGAGGCCCAUGCUGAUGAUGGUCUCCUAGAAAUUUUUGGUUUAAAGCAAGGAUGGCAUGCAUCUUUUGUAAUGGUUGAACUCAUAUCUGCUAAACACAUAGCCCAGGCUGCGGCAAUUCGAUUGGAAAUAAGGGGUGGAGAAUGGAAAGAUGCGUACAUGCAGAUGGAUGGUGAACCCUGGAAACAGCCAAUGAGCAAGGAGUACUCUUCAUUUGUGGAAAUUAAGAGGGUGCCUUUUCAGUCCCUUAUGAUCAGUGGAGAGUAACUUGCUGGUUUGCCCACUAGCCCUUGAUUCAAGUGUGGCGUCACUAGGUUUAUUGCUUUCUCAACCAAGAUGAGUGAUCACUGAUCAGUGUAAAGUAUGGUUUUCUCCCCAGGGGCUUGUAAAUUAUAGUUAUCUGCUAGGUUAGUAGCUGAUGGGUAUUUGUUGUAUCAAAUUUCAUUUGAUUGCCAGUUCUUCAUUUCGUUUUUUGGUUCACUUGUUGGAGGAAUGUUUAAUUACCAGGCUUUGCGAGUGCUUAAAUAAAUGAUUCCACAAGGAAAAAUGGGUCUUAUAGAAUUUAAAUUUGUAGCAGUGAAUUCAUUAACAGUAAUUAUUGACUGGUGAUUAGUAAUACUGUUUGACAGUUUUUAGGCGUCCAUUUACGGUUCAUAAACAGCUUUGGAGCAUGCUUGUAAUACAAUGCAAUAAAAUAAGAAUAAGAUUUUUGUAUUAUAAUUUACAACACUUGCUAAUCUACUAAAAGCAUUGCUUAAUUCUUGUCAUUUGAGGAAAUGAAAGGAUAAAUAGAAUUUUAAACAUUUGUAAAGAAUAAGAUUUUAAUAAUAGCCUAGGAUGAAUUUCCUAAACCCUUUUGCCUACGCUUGUUCCGAGGAUGAGGGGUAUAUGCAUAACUGUGGGUGGGAGAGUUAUGGAAAAAAGAGGGGAAGAGUAUAUGUUUUUUUAAAUAUUAUACUGCCAAACUGGUUCAAGAAGUCCACAUGCGAAUGGAUACUAUGAGGGGGUGUGCAUUGAUUAAUUGAAAUGUAAAAAUAUGAGAAUUGAAUUGAUGUUACGAGAAUCAAAUUGAGUGAUUAUUUUGAUUUAGUUUGAUUUUUAAGUUUUAAAAUUCCUUGGACUUUGUUUUUUAUCUACAAAUUUUUUUCCUUUUCAUUCCUUUUAGGGAAAGCUUUUAUUUAUUCUUUGUAUUUUGUGUUUUGAUGAAAUCAAUUAUUAGAUUCUUGUAUUUUAA
This 1979-nucleotide unclassified non-coding RNA is filed under the name Hevea brasiliensis (rubber tree). Lineage: Eukaryota; Viridiplantae; Streptophyta; Magnoliopsida; Malpighiales; Euphorbiaceae. The record is from RNAcentral.